AUUACAUUGUGUACAUUCCAUCUCUAUAGAUGUUGUCUGUUUAACGUCCCCACCUAAAAAGAAAUAAAAAGACUAUCUUUUCGUUAUUAUAAACCCGUGUCACGUGAUGUGGCGCGCGCGCUGUACCUAAAAUAAAAGAAAAAAACUUUCCAAACUAAACAUGAAACUUCUCCGGUAACAAUAAUAUAGACCCCAUACAGAAACAAACAAACAAACAAACAAACAAACAAACACCCCCCAAUUCAAUUAAUUUUACAGGGGGAAAGACCCCCUACAAUUGCUUUUUUAAAGCAAUUGAUUUAUAUUUUUGUUUAUUUUUGUUU
This 323-nucleotide long non-coding RNA is filed under the name Mytilus galloprovincialis (Mediterranean mussel). The record is from RNAcentral. Lineage: Eukaryota; Metazoa; Mollusca; Bivalvia; Mytilida; Mytilidae.